GAGACAGCAGCAGCCACGGUAAUACGUAGGUGGCAAGCGUUGUCCGGAAUUAUUGGGCGUAAAGCGCGCGCAGGCGGAUAGGUCAGUCUGUCUUAAAAGUUCGGGGCUUAACCCCGUGAUGAGAUGGAAACUGCCAAUCUAGAGUAUCGGAGAGGAAAGUGGAAUUCCUAGUGUAGCGGUGAAAUGCGUAGAUAUUAGGAAGAACACCAGUGGCGAAGGCGACUUUCUGGACGAAAACUGACGCUGAGGCGCGAAAGCCAGGGGAGCGAGCGGGAUUAGAUACCCGUGUAGUCCCUGUCUCUUAUACA
This 308-nucleotide ribosomal RNA is filed under the name uncultured bacterium. RNAcentral describes it as "partial 16S ribosomal RNA". It matches the Rfam family "Bacterial small subunit ribosomal RNA", at positions 505 to 809 of the family's 1533-position model. The record is from RNAcentral.